CCUACGGGAGGCAGCAGUAGGGAAUAUUGCUCAAUGGGGGAAACCCUGAAGCAGCAACGCCGCGUGGAGGAUGAAGGUUUUCGGAUUGUAAACUUCUUUUGUUAGAGAAGAUAAUGACGGUAUCUAACGAAUAAGCACCGGAUAACUCCGUGCCAGCAGCCGCGGUAAUACGGAGGGUGCAAGCGUUACUCGGAAUCACUGGGCGUAAAGAGCGCGUAGGCGGGAUAGCAAGUCAGAUGUGAAAUCCUAGGGCUUAACCAUAGAACUGCAUUUGAAACUGUUAUUCUAGAGUAUGGGAGAGGUAGGUGGAAUUCUUGGUGUAGGGGUAAAAUCCGUAGAGAUCAAGAGGAAUACCCAUUGCGAAGGCGACCUGCUAGAACAUAACUGACGCUGAUGCGCGAAAGCGUGGGGAGCAAACAGGAUUAGAUACCCUUGUAGUC
This 440-nucleotide ribosomal RNA is filed under the name uncultured bacterium. Its description in RNAcentral is "partial 16S ribosomal RNA". It matches the Rfam family "Bacterial small subunit ribosomal RNA", at positions 338 to 795 of the family's 1533-position model. The record is from RNAcentral.